AUUUUAAUGUGUUAAGACAAUUGUUUCUAAUAUGUAAAAAUGUUACUUUCAUAUUCGUAUCUUUUAAUUCUUUGUGAUAUUCUGUUGCUCAUGCAAAGAGUUCUUAUAUCAAUUUAUCCUUCCCAAAAAUGAUUGGGAAAAAUAAUUAUAGCUUUUAAAUAGUUUAGGAUAUAUUGGUAUAUUCAUUAGUACAUGAGUAGAAUUUUCUUCUGGAAUACAUAAAAUCAGUACAUUUUUAUGGAGAGGAGGGGUCAUUAGUGAAUGUUCUGUUUCUUCUAUAAAUAUUUAGUUUAGAAUCUCUGUCUCUAUGGGGUAAAAGUUUAUAAAAUAUAUAUUCCUAGAAUACAUAUUAUCUACAUUUAAAUAGUAAUUUACAUUGAAUUGUAUAAUUUUUCUAUUUAUUCUUUAUGUUAAUGUUUGACUUUAAGUUCUUCUCUGCAGUGUAAACUGUUGAUACCUCCUUCUCAAGCUCUUUGUGUGAUUCCAUCUGUUUAAAGAAUCAUUUGGCUCCAGAGUUUGGAGAUUAGUUAAAAUUAGAUUUUCAGCAGAUGCAUAACCCAGGGAAGCACAGAAUUCAGUAAGAUACACAAGCUUUGCUUCAGUCUCUCCUGUCUCAGACUCAGCAUUUCCUGCUUCCUUCAUUUCCUGCUUCCUUCCUUCCUUCAGGAGCCCAUUUUCUUCCAGAUAUUGUGGAAAUUUAUCACCUCUCCCAAACAUUUUUAUGUCUCUGGAGUUACACAUUAGAACAUUGUCAUUGUUUUUGGUAAUUGGUUUUCUGAAAAUAAUUUUAACUCUUCAAAUAUGUACUGCCAUUGUAUCUACAGGUGAAGUGAUAAUUGUAGUUUUCUGGGGAAGUGAAGUCACAGGAUCACAAACCCACAUCUCAGACCUCCUUCCUACACACUCACUGGCUGUAGUGACUACAAACCAGAGCCCAUUCUCCAGCAGUAGAAGGAAAUCAGACACUACCCAAAGCAGUUCUUCUCUACAGUGGCAGAUACAUCUGCAAAUCUUCGCCUAAAGCAGUGACCUAAGAACCAACUUAACUGCUGAUGCCUGGAACACGGUCCCCAUCUUAGAAAUGUCGACCAAAUUGCAGGACACCCAAACAACAUUUUCAAGUAGAAAGUAAAUAGAUUAAGAAAACAGAGUUACCAAGCUGUUAAGUGAAUUUUGUUUCCUUUUAUCCCUGUCCCCUUUUAUUUUCAUGGUAGAAAAGGCUGGAUGGGGAUUGUUGCAAAAGCAGUGAUCUACCUCAUUUUACCACCACCAGGAUGGCCAAGGAUGUGGGUUCUCCUUGAGUGAAUCUUUGGCAAUCUGUCAGCCUGACAUGGUCUGCCUCCUUCUUUGACCUGAGCUUGCUCCCUGCUUGGAGGGAGGGCAGGGAGUUUUUUCAACAUUGAGAAGGUAACAUUUUUACUCCUCAGUGCAGCCUGUACCUCUGACCCAUGGUCAGCAGACAGGACAGAGGUACCCAGUAGACAGAGCUCAAAGGACGGCACUGAGUCCCAGUGGAAGGCUCAACGUUUAGCUCUGCCACCCACCCCAUAUGACCACAGGCAGACUCCAUGACCUUGUGGGUUUGUUUUCUCACCCCUAAAAAAGGAGGAAUUGUACUACCAUCUGUUUGGAAAUUUGUGAGGAUCACUGCGUUAAUCAUGUAAAGUCUUUAGAAAGUUCAUAUUGCUGUUUAUUAACUGCUUGUUGGUGGCUUGGCUGAGCCACAUCUUUUAUGAAAACCAGGACCACACAGCAGGUGUGGGUGUCUUUGCAGCCUGAGACCCUCAUGUGAACAGCCUUGUGGAAGCUGUCCUUUCCCCUUGCCACAAUCAGUGCCUCCCUGUUCCUGGGCAUUGCUUUCUCUGCUGGAUGUUAGGUGCUACACCAUUUUCCUACACCUCAGUUGUCUACAGGUAUAUGUCUGUUCUAGAAUCUAGGUGAGGUGGCAUCGAUAGCAGUUCUACUGUGGCACUGCCCUCCUUAGAUUGUCUUUUGAGAGCAAGAGUGGUCCCUCCACAUACCCCAAGAACUUACCUGCAUUUGCUCACAUAGUCUCAAUUUAGAAAAUGAGAAUUGUCACAUCUGCCUACCUGCCAAGUGGGUAAGGGGUAAAUUUCUUGUUGAAAUCUGAGCAGAAAAAUAUAACCAAUGCUAUACCCACUGAAGACAUGUAUGAGGAAUUAGAACAAUUCUUUAUGGACUGUAACUCAUAUAAAUACCUAGAAGUAAGUUUUAAAAAAAUUCAAGGAAGACAUAAUCAUUUUCUAUAAAUUACAAUAUCCUACACUGUGCAAUCAAAGGAAAUGACUAGCAUAGCUUUGAAACUAAAAUUAGAUAAGGUAAAUUGAAUUGUGUGAUAUAUAAAAAUACCAUAAAUUCUGAGCAGUAUGAUCUCAAAAUAUGAUAUGGUGGCUUAACAGUGAUAAUGCACUAAAUAAGAGGUUAAUAGAGAAAAAUUAUGAUUAUUGCCAUAGGUAUAGGAAGCUCAUGGAAUAAGAUUCACAUAUAUUUAUAAGACAACUACCUUAUAAACUUUAAAUGACCUAUCACAACCACUUAAAUUAUUGUUGCUUAAACAGUAUAUAUCUUGGCUGGUUAAAAACCAGGUAAGAAUUUCCAUAACAUUAAUUUAUUUAUAACACCAUAUUGGGUGUGAACCUAUUAAAAAGUUUACCCAACUAUAAAGGUAUACAAUUGACGAUUUAUUAAAUUGACAUUGUGUGCAGCCAUCACCAUGAUCUAACUUAAAAAUGUUUCACUCACUGAAGUUCUUUCUUGCCCAUGUCAGUUAAUCCCUACUCCCAUAUCCAGCCCUAAGCAAUACUGCUCUGAUAUUCUGUCUGUAGAAAUUUCCCAUUUGUGUAAUAGAUAUGGAAUCAUGCAAUAUAUUAUUUGUAGAGUCUGGAGUCUGACUUUUUUCAUUUAGCUACUAUUUUUAAAGUUAAUUGAUGCUUUAACAUGUGCUGGUAAUAUGUUUUCCUUCUCAUUGCUUCAUAGUCCAUCAUGUGGAUAUAUAAACAGUGUUUAUUCAUCCAUCAGUUGAUGGACAUUUAAUUAUUUCUGCCUUUUGUAUUAUGAAUAAUGCUGCUUUGAGCAUUCAUACACAGUUAUGUAAUGCAUAGUAACAUUUGGUCAAUGAUGGAUGGAAUGUAUGGUGGCAGUCCCGUAAGAUUAUAAUGGAGCUUAAAAAUUCCUAUCACCUAGAGUUUUGUAGCUGUCACAAGUGUGUAGUGUAUAACACAUUACACAGGCAUUGGUGAUGAUGUUGAUGGAAAGAAAUCUACUGGUUUUCCAUUUACGUUGAACAUACAAUUAUGUGCAGUAUAUAAUAUUUGGUAGUGUAAAUAAAUGACUGUGUUCCUGGUUUAUGUAUUUACUGUGCUGUACUUAUUAUGAUUAUUUGAGAAUAUACUCUAUCUACAUAUAAAAUAAAAUAAACACUGACCAGACGUGCUGGCUCACACCUGUAUUCCCAGCACUUUGGGAGGCUGAGGCGGGUGGAUCACCUGACAUCAGGAGUUCAAGAGCAGCCAGACCAACAUGGAGAAAGCCGUCUCUACUAAAAAUACAAAAUUAUGCAGACAUGGUGGCAGGUGCCAUUAAUCCCACCUCCUCUGAGGCAGCAGAAUUGUUUGAACCUGGGAAGUGGAGGUUGUAGUGAGCCGAGAUUGCGCCAUUACACUCCAGCCUGAGCAAAAAGAGCAAAACUCCAUCUCAAAGUAAAUAAAUAAAUAAGAGUUGUUUUUAAAAUUUUGAAAGUUAGGCCAGUGAUGGUGGCUCACACCUGUAAUCCCAGCACUUUGAAAGGCUGAGGAGAGUGGAUCACCCGAGUUUGGGAGUUUGAGACCAGCCUGAUCAACAUGGAGAAACCCCUCCUCUACUAAAAAUACAAAAUUAGCCGGGUAUGGUAGUGCAUGCCUAUAAUCCCAGCUACUUGGGAGGCUGAGGCAGGAGAAUCACUUGAACCUGGGAGGCGGAGGUUAUGGUGAGCCAAGAUCGUGACUUUGCAUUCCAGCCUGCGCAACAAGAGCAGAACUCCAUCUCAAAAACAAAAAAUAAAAUUUUUUAAGAUAAUAAAUUUUAAAUGUUACAGUAGGCUAAGAUUAGUUGAUUAUUGAAUAAAUAAAACAUUUCUAUAAAUUUAGGGUAGUCUAAAGGUACAAUGUUUAUAAAGGCUAUAGUAGUAUACGGUAAUGCCCCAUGCCUUCCCAUUCACUCACCAUUCAUUCACUAAAUCACCCAGAUCAACCUCUAUCUGCAUGCUGUGUUCAUGGUAAAGUGCCCUACACAGAUGUACUAAUUUUUAUAUUUUAUAACAUAUCGUAGCUUUUCUAUAUUUAGAUUUUAGAUAUAUAAAAUCUUACCAUUUUGUUACCUUUGCCUCCAGUAUUCAGUACAGUCACAUGUUGUACAGGUCAGAGCCCAGAGCAAUUGGCUGUAUCAUACAGCCUAGGUGUAUCGUCGGCUGUGCCAUCUAGAUUUGUGUAAGUGCACUCUGUGAAGUCUGCACAAUCACUACAUCACCUAAUGAUCCAUAUCUUAGAACACGUCACUGUCAUUAAGAGACACAUGUCUGUACAGGUGACUUUGGAGAAUUUGCUUUCAGUUCACUUGGGGCAUUUCCCAGGUGUGGACUUGCUGGACCAAAUGGUAAGUUCAAAUUUAAUUUUUUUAAGAAACCAGGGAACUGUCUUCUAAAUUAGCUGCGCCAAUGUUUAUUCCUACCAUGCUGCACAGUACCAAUUUCAUUGUACACUGUAUGCUAAGCCCCAGCAUGUAAGAAAUAAAGUAACACGUGUAAAGAUUAGUAUAAA
Molecule: long non-coding RNA, 4814 nt
Organism: Callithrix jacchus (white-tufted-ear marmoset)
Lineage: Eukaryota; Metazoa; Chordata; Mammalia; Primates; Cebidae
Source: Ensembl